GCUGGGGACGGCCGGCAGAUGGCCCGGGUUGGCGAGAAGGGGACCGAAAUGGCAGGGGGAGGCGGGAAUUCGGGCACCUUUGGAAACCCUUUGUCCCUAACCUGAACGGGAGGCACCUCCCCUCUUCCGGAUCCAGCACCCGCAGAUCUGGCGAGCCCUCCCUAAGGUCUGCCCUGUGGAGCUUUGCUUUGGGAACUGAGUGUGAAGCGACCAGGAGGAUUUGUUGAGCGCCGAGAGAGCACCUGUCUAGGCGUGAAGAGGAGGGGGCUAGGUCGUGGAGUGCCUGGUGACCCCACUUGGUUCCACCCGAAGGACCUGGCGCGCCCUUCGCCAGCUUCACCCUGUACUCACCUGGAUUGCACUUGCGUUCCACCUGGGUUUCCCAGUAGGACAGCUGAAGAAGGGGCCACCACCAGCUGUGCAGUUACAGAGACUAUGUGCUUUCCUGCAUGGGUUUUCAAAGCUUUCCAAAUACAUCUGGCUUGAAACCAGCAAUAUUCUUGUAUAACAAUUUUUGGGUUAGAGUGCAGUGGGCCAAUCAUAAUAGCUCACUGCAGCCUCAAAUUUCUGGAAUCGGGGGAUCCUCCCACUUCAGCUUCCUGAGUAGCUGGGACUACAGGAAUAAAAAUGGGCAAUGACGUUUCAAAGUCCAAGUUUAUAGGCAAAGAAGUAUUCUAUUACGUUCACUUCAUGCUGAAACAGCUAUUAAGCCCACAUCUCUACUCCCAUUUCUCCUACUGUGAAAAUGAGGAAAGAAGGUAUUAAAGAAUAGUUAGGCCUGCACUUCAACUCUCAAUCUUAACUUUAAGUGGACAUCCAAAGGCAAUAUAGCUGGAUAAAGUAUCUUCGUCCAAGACUAAGAGAAACACCGUUGAUAGCAGGAGUGAUGAAAGGCAUCAAGCAAAGUGAGGAUGCAGAUGAGAAAAGAAGAUCAGAACACAGAAAUAUCUGAAACAAGUCACAAAUGCAUAGUAUGAGCCCUCAGUGAAUGUACAAGUUAGAGGUGGAGAUAAGUGCUCUGCAGAAAGGAGCAUGACUCUGUGAGAGGAACAGAGGACCACAUGCUGACCUACAAAUCAAGGAAGACUUCCCUGAGGACAUAACCCUUGUUUGGACUCUGUUCUCUUUAUGCUAAGAAUUUUAAUAAGGAGCAAGUAAUUGACAUGAUCCAGUGUACAUUUUUAGAGGAAUAUCACGAGUCCUAUCCCUUCACCUCCUAAAUAUGUCUGACAUCCGUUCCCUAUCCUCCAUCCUCAUGACCUUCACUGGCAUGGGCAUCCAUCAGCUCACUGUGGGGAAAGUUUCCCUCAAAGGGCACUGAUAACACAUCUCAUUAAAACUAUACUACAUCAUUAUACCUCCCCAACAUAAUAUGUACAUGUAUGUAUUUGACCAUAUAUGGAUUACUAUCUUAUGUAUUACAUAUAUUAAGAGCAUUCACAAAAAAUUAAAAAUCCAAAUGGUAAGAUUUUACAUUUUAGAUUUAUUUGAUAACAAUACUUUAUUCUAUUACUAAACAUAUAUUCCUAAUCGUCAUUAAGAUAUUAUCAUGUUAGAAAACUUUGCUUAACUAUACCAUAUCAUUUUUAGAAAUCUUAGUUUAAUAUUCUGUGACACAGAAAUUGACAAGUCUGCUUCCAAAUUUGGUUUAUUUUGAUUCUUUCAUUUAAUGGCUGUCAUAGCUGAAAAAGGACCCCAUAGAGACCCAACAGAGGCAGUGCCUUAUUGGCUAUACCUCCCAAAUGAAGCCAUUUAUUUCUCAAUCUCAUUCACUAAUUUACAAAGAUUUACUGAUUUUUCAUUGUUAGACUGCAAAGGUACACUUAAAUGAGGGUAAUUCUUAAUAAAUAUGUGAAUAAGAACAUGACCUCUACCUUUGUGAAACUUGCACAUUACAGAAGCUCAAUAAAUAUUUGUUGAAUGAAUAAAUGAGGAAAUAGAAUAUUUUUACAGUUAAGUAGUUUUAAUUAUUUUAUAUUUAAAUUUCAAGUCUUUAAAGGAGAAGGAAUUGAAAAAAUGUGAAAUAUUAAAUAUACGUUUACCUCCAUUUUUAAAGGUUAGUAGCUAUAUGCACAAAUCAAAUGAAUAGCAAUUUUUGGAAGUGUAACCAUUUUGGGAAUCUUGUGUGAAUAAAUUACAAUUUUAAAACAUCGAGAAUAAGUGCCCAUUGAAUGUCAUUUUUUAAAAGGAAAAAAGAAACUUUAGUCUCUAUUUAAAAAGUAACAUAUUUAACAGUUUUCUCAUUUAUGCAAAUUAUAUGGAAAAUUCAGAACCCCAACCACCAAAAGAUUACCUUCCAUAAGAGUAAGUGUGGUUUUGGCUUCCAGAAUCAUCUGGAUAAGUGCCAGCAUUCUCCAAGUCACAUUCUUGGUAUGAAAUGAACAUUUGUAAAUGGAGUCUAAUUAAAUUUUGUGCUAAAAAGAA
Callithrix jacchus (white-tufted-ear marmoset) is the source of this 2424-nucleotide RNA transcript. RefSeq lists it as uncharacterized. Lineage: Eukaryota; Metazoa; Chordata; Mammalia; Primates; Cebidae. The record is from RefSeq and is a predicted model, not a curated record.